This 1344-nucleotide ribosomal RNA is filed under the name uncultured marine eukaryote. Its description in RNAcentral is "SSU rRNA". It matches the Rfam family "Eukaryotic small subunit ribosomal RNA", at positions 409 to 1780 of the family's 1831-position model. The record is from RNAcentral.
ACCACAUCUAAGGAAGGCAGCAGGCACGCAAAUUACCCAAUGAACGAAGUUCGAGGUAGUGACGAAAAAUAACGAUAGCGGACUCAUCCGAGGCCCGCUAAUUGGAAUGAGUACACUUUAAAACCGUCCCCGAGGAUCUAUUGGAGGGCAAGUCUGGUGCCAGCAGCCGCGGUAAUUCCAGCUCCAAUAGCGUAUAUUAAAGUUGUUGUGGUUAAAAAGCUCGUAGUUGGAUCUCAACAGCUCUGGGUCGGUUAGCUUUGUGUUAUACUGAUCUAUGAGUUGUGCUUUUGCUGGAGGUUUAGGGGUGCUCUUAAUCGAGUGUCUCUGGAUGCCAGCAGGUUUACUUUGAAAAAAUUAGAGUGUUCAAAGCAGGCUGUUAUGCCUGAAUAUUCGUGCAUGGAAUAAUAGAAUAGGAUGUCGAUCUUAUUUUGUUGGUUUUCGAGACUCGACAUAAUGAUUAAUAGGGACAGUCGGGGGCAUUUGUAUUCAAACGCUAGAGGUGAAAUUCUUGGACCGUUUGAAGACAAACUACUGCGAAAGCAUUUGCCAAGAAUGUUUUCAUUAAUCAAGAACGAAAGUUAGAGGUUCGAAGGCGAUUAGAUACCGCCCUAGUUCUAACCAUAAACGAUGCCAGCUAGCGAUCUGCUGACGUUUUUACUGUAGACUCAGCAGGAAGCUUCCGGGAAACCAAAGCAUUUGGGUUCCAGGGGAAGUAUGGUUGCAAAGCUGAAACUUAAAGGAAUUGACGGAAGGGCACCACCAGGAGUGGAGCCUGUGGCUUAAUUUGACUCAACACGGGAAAUCUCACCAGGCCCGGACACUGGAAGGAUUGACAGAUUGAUAGCUCUUUCUUGAUUCGGUGGGUGGUGGUGCAUGGCCGUUCUUAGUUGGUGGAGUGAUUUGUCUGGUUAAUUCCGAUAACGAACGAGACUCUGUCCUGCUAAAUAGUGUUAUCGUCUUCUUAGCGAUGACAAUUCUUCUUAGAGGGACUGGCAACUCUUAGUUGCACGAGAUUGAGCAAUAACAGGUCUGUGAUGCCCUUAGAUGUUCUGGGCCGCACACGCGCUACACUGAAUAGAUCAGCGUGUCACCCUUCCCGAAAGGGACGGGUAAACCGCUGAACCCUAUUCGUGGUAGGGAUCGGGGCUUGCAAUUAUUCCCCGUGAACCAGGAAUUCCCAGUAGGCACAGGUCAUAAGCCUGUGUCGAUUACGUCCCUGCCCUUUGUACACACCGCCCGUCGCUACUACCGAUUGAACGUUUUAGUGAGGUCCACGGAUUGUGUUUCAGCUGGCUCACGCUGACUGAUUUGCGAGAAGUCGACCAAACUGAAGCGUUUAGAGGA